Molecule: small RNA, 24 nt
Filed under: Arabidopsis thaliana (thale cress)
Lineage: Eukaryota; Viridiplantae; Streptophyta; Magnoliopsida; Brassicales; Brassicaceae
Description: ATSL300710
Source: RNAcentral
ACAAGUCUCUCUCUUCUCUCUCUC